ACAGUCACACAUUAGAUACCCGUGUAGUCCUGGCCGUAAACGAUGUGGACUUGGUGUUGGGAUGGCUCCGAGCUGCCCCAGUGCCGGAGAGAAGUUGUUAAGUCUGCUACUUGGGAGUACGUCCGCAAGGAUGAAACUUAAAGGAAUUGGCGGGGGAGCACCGCAACGGGAGGAGCGUGCGGUUUAAUUGGAUUCAACACCGUAAAACUCACCAGGGAAGACUGUUACAUGAAAGCCGAGAUGAAGACUCUGCUAGAUUUUCAG
This 264-nucleotide ribosomal RNA is filed under the name uncultured archaeon. RNAcentral describes it as "partial 16S ribosomal RNA". It matches the Rfam family "Archaeal small subunit ribosomal RNA", at positions 719 to 982 of the family's 1478-position model. The record is from RNAcentral.